UGAACCCAUGACUCUGUAAAGCAUGAUAACUAUGGCAACUGGAACACAUACAUUGUGAUGGCUGAUUUCACAUCAGCAUUCAUCAGGGGAGGUACUAAGCUUGGUACUACAGCAUGGAGAGUAGCUAUUGUUAACAUCACGUGAAGCUACAGAGACAGGGAAGAAGGAAAACACAUGUAAUGAGCAGGCAGAACAUUAGAUCUACGGCUGUUGGAUACUGAUCCCCAACGAGGGAAAAACAUACAGACCAAAAGGAGGAAUUGAGAGAACAGCCAUCAAGAUAUUUCAACCUAUCAGGAAAGGGAGUGGAAAGGAGCUGACAGAGAAACCUCAAAGGAAG
Molecule: long non-coding RNA, 340 nt
Organism: Passer domesticus (house sparrow)
Lineage: Eukaryota; Metazoa; Chordata; Aves; Passeriformes; Passeridae
Exons: 3
Source: RefSeq, a predicted model, not a curated record